Molecule: long non-coding RNA, 500 nt
Organism: Diuraphis noxia (Russian wheat aphid)
Lineage: Eukaryota; Metazoa; Arthropoda; Insecta; Hemiptera; Aphididae
Gene: cpx
Source: RefSeq, a predicted model, not a curated record
AUGUAUGUAGUAUGUAUGUAUGAAUUUUUAUACAUGUGAAAUAUUAUUAUAUUGUUGUGACAUAAUAUUACUUAGUCUCUGAAUUCCGACACGAAUGCCCAUCGGACGUAACAUUAUUAAUUGACCGUUAUCGAAUGAGAUCACGUGGCGACGACAAGUCGUUCGUACUCUGAGCGGUUAGGACAUAAAAUAAAAUAUAAUAUUAACAAAAAAAAUAUAUACAAAAAUUCGUUAUAUCGUAUACAAUUACUAUCAUACUUUUUCCCCGCGAGACAACGACGACGACGACUAGACGACGGACAAAAUUUUUGCCGGUAUCGGCAUCCAAGGGGGCUUUUGACGGGCUGACCACCAGCGGCAACGUACGUAUUCCGCACUGGCAGAAUACACACGUGUUGGCACGUUUACACGUUUUACACAUUCAUUAAGAACAGAUUUCAAACAGAAUUGACGGUUUAUCAGGCUCUCAAAUAGACUACUUAAAGAAAAAUUUUAAACUC